This 63-nucleotide transfer RNA is filed under the name Clostridioides difficile DA00191. RNAcentral's name for it is "partial tRNA-Leu". It matches the Rfam family "tRNA", at positions 14 to 71 of the family's 71-position model. From Rfam's summary of the family: Transfer RNA (tRNA) molecules are approximately 80 nucleotides in length. Their secondary structure includes four short double-helical elements and three loops (D, anti-codon, and T loops). Lineage: Bacteria; Bacillati; Bacillota; Clostridia; Peptostreptococcales; Peptostreptococcaceae. The record is from RNAcentral.
AGUUGGCAGCUCGUCGGGCUCAUAACCCGAAGGUCGUAGGUUCAAGUCCUGCCUCCGCAACCA